AUUUUGGGGAUGGGUUUCUCAGGCUGACCUCAAGUUUAGUCUUCCAAACUACUGGGGUUACAGGGGUGGACCAGCAUACCUGGCUUUAACAAUUAAUUUUAAAAUAAGUUGGUCAUUCUCCCACGACACCAUCCUGAGUCAUUCCACCAGCAUAGAGUCAAGAGUGCUCAGAGUAACCACGCUGAACAACAGUGACACCCCAUCAUUAGGGAAAGUUCAAGUAUGUAAAGAACAUCCCCUAGCAGUUGGGAAAAGUCCACUUAAUUCUUUUGAAUACAACAGGCCUUUGGCUAUGUUUCUUUUUCUUGUCAAACACUGCACGGAAGAGGUUGGGAACGGUGCCAAGAGGCUUUCAACUCUACCACCCUGUAAACAUGAUUGCAUUAUCAGUAUAUGAAGACGUCACAAACAUGGCCAGGGCUAUGGUACCUCUCAGUAUGGCAGGGGUGGCCUGAUAAUAAGAGUCAGAAGACAUAGGCACAUUAUAGGCUCCCACUUGGUCAUUAUUGAUCAGUCCAGUUCAUUAUCACAUCAAAUGUAUAAAAUGUCUCCCAGGGCAAGACCACCAGACUUUCUGGCUUCCACUGGAUUUAGGUUUUAAAAUAGAAGUUGUCCAGCCAUAUGGGGCCUCACCAUUUUGGGUAACUGGUAUGACUCAACUAAGAGACAAUAGCAUAUCUUGAUUGAGAUUUAUUCAAAAUGUUAACAUAAUAUUGGAUCUCUCAGAUGGUAUAACCCAUGCAUUCAUCCCUUUACUCACAGCUCUUAGAUAUUUUCCAUCCUUGUGAGAAAUACACAGGGAAAACACUUUGCUGGACUCUAUUCCUAGCAUCAGAAUUCUAGUUCAGCCAGUGGCUCCCCAUGAGUCCCUUCCCCUUUAUUCAGUGUGGGAAUAUGUGGAUGCAAAGCAAGUGGGCUAGCUCAGCCACUAUGUAACCACCAUAUUGACUACAAACCCCAUUUUUUCCAGAUGGGGUGAAAGCAAAACCCACUGGAUCAGACCCUAUGAAAUUGUAACAUCAAGGUUUAAAAAUCAAAAGGAUAUAAGAACAAUGAGACCACCUUGGUCUCCACAUGGAAAGAAUGACUCAUUUUACAAGAAUCUCCUCAUGAAAAAAA
This 1119-nucleotide long non-coding RNA is filed under the name Marmota monax (woodchuck). The record is from RNAcentral. Lineage: Eukaryota; Metazoa; Chordata; Mammalia; Rodentia; Sciuridae.